GAGUAAACCUGAUGUGGCUGUUAGCUGGCUUAGGCAUGUGCUCGUCCAUCAUCUUUAUAUCUCCACCUGUGCACAUUUUGUAGACUUGGAUAAUGGCUCUGUCAUUUACAAGACUAUGUUUUCAAUAUACCCAAAGCAUGUUUAAAGAAUGUCAUCAAUAGGAACUUGGUUUCCUAUUAGAAACUAUACAACUUUCAGCAACGGAUCUCUUGGCUCUCGCAUCGAUGAAGAACGCAGCGAAAUGCGUUAAGUAAUGUGAAUUGCAGAAUUCAGUGAAUCAUCGAAUCUUUGAACGCACCUUGCGCUCCUUGGUAUUCCGAGGAGCAUGCCUGUUUGAGUGUCAUUAAAUUCUCAACCUUUCCAUUAAUUUAAUUUGGU
Molecule: unclassified non-coding RNA, 378 nt
Filed under: uncultured Laccaria
Lineage: Eukaryota; Fungi; Basidiomycota; Agaricomycetes; Agaricales; Tricholomataceae
Description: partial contains 18S rRNA, ITS1, 5.8S rRNA, ITS2 and 28S rRNA
Rfam family: 5.8S ribosomal RNA (bases 190-343)
Source: RNAcentral